CUGUGUUUUCUGAUGUCCUUUGUCUCAUACCCGGCCCAUCUUUAUGUUUUCUUAAUAUUGGUAAUGAAGAUGAACGGUGUCCAAUCUUGUGCUUGCAAAGUUGCACCCUAAACCCCUCCAUCAGGAAUUCCUUUUAUUCCCUUGUAGGAAUUUGAGUUAGGCAUUAGGAAGUGUGUAUAGGGUUAGUUAAUUUGCCCUAACACACAUACAUAUUAUUUGCAUUUGAGCAAUACAAUGAUAUUAUAGUUUUGCCCCUCAUACAGUGAUUUUGCACCAAGCCUUAAUUCCCCAAAAAUUGUGUAGUAAUAACAAAGAGAUUUAGUAAGUUUAGUGACAGACAUUAGACUAAAGGGAAAAUUUGGAAUAUAAAUGACCAAAGAUAUUGAAAGGGUGGGACUAAGGUUGGCAAUGCCCAAACCAGACAUACUUGUGGUUAAGUCAUCUUCCAAUGUGAUCUGGGGAAGAUUAUUUGGACGCUCAAGGUCGGAAAGCAAACCUGAAGUACCAAUCAUGUGAUCAAUAGCUCUUGAGUCAAUGACCCAGGUUCCCUGAGCAGUGAAGCAAGCAAUGGAAGUACCUGUCUGAGUUAGCAGUGGAGGACACAACAGAAAUGGAUAGCAACAUGUGACCAAAAAACAGCAUGUGAAUGAGGUCAAUUAAAUAAAAUGUGACCCCAUGAGAAACACUAAAGGUGGAACCAAUUAACACAAAUGGGAGAAAGGGAAUUGACAUAAUUAAACUAAAUCCAGCCAACCAAAUACACCAAGCCUUUUAUUUUAACAUAGACUGCGUAGAACCUUCACCAAACAACAAUAAAACUGCCUAACCAAAUCAUAAAUCAACUGGUCAAAUAGAAAAUGAACCAAACGAACAAGGCUGAACAUCAUGCUACAGAACCGCCAAAAAAAUAUGAGAAUCAACAUGUACCGGUGAAAGUCAGACCCUUAAUUAGAGCAGUGAACUGUGUUAAAAAAUGACAACUUGCAUGAUACAAGAGGAGAAUCCAGACAUAUCAGAUGAAAGGUAAACCUGAGGACACCAAUUAAGCAAGGACAAGUCAAAUCAGCCUGGUAGAGUCAGUUAUGGUGAGACUAUUGGUGGCUGCAACACUAGCUGGAUCAUGGUUGGUGUCAGAUUGGGUUGAAAAAUCUUGGGUUUUUGAGUUUGGGUGG
Molecule: long non-coding RNA, 1172 nt
Organism: Quercus lobata
Lineage: Eukaryota; Viridiplantae; Streptophyta; Magnoliopsida; Fagales; Fagaceae
Exons: 2
Source: RefSeq, a predicted model, not a curated record